RNAcentral lists this ribosomal RNA (400 nucleotides) under uncultured Alphaproteobacteria bacterium. Its description in RNAcentral is "bacterial SSU rRNA". It matches the Rfam family "Bacterial small subunit ribosomal RNA", at positions 29 to 455 of the family's 1533-position model. Lineage: Bacteria; Pseudomonadati; Pseudomonadota; Alphaproteobacteria. The record is from RNAcentral.
AGUGAACGUUGGCGGCACGCCUAACACAUGCAAGUCGAACGAAGUAGCAAUACUUAGUGGCAGACGGGUGAGUAACAUGUGGGUAUCUGCCCUUUGGCCUGGAAUAACACGAGGAAACUUGUGCUAAUACCGGAUAAGUCUUUACGGAGAAAGCUUUAUGCGCCGAAGGAUGAGCCUGCACUUGAUUAGUUUGUUGGUGGGGUAAUGGCCUACCAAGACUUUGAUCUAUAGCUGAUCUGAGAGGAUGAUCAGCCACAUUGGGACUGAGACACGGCCCAAACUCCUACGGGAGGCAGCAGUAGGGAAUAUUGCACAAUGGAGGAAACUCUGAUGCAGCGAUGCCGCGUGAGUGAAGAAGGCCUUUGGGUUGUAAAACUCUUUCGUCGGGGAAGAAAUGACU